GCGUGCCUAAUACAUGCAAGUCGAGCGGACAGAUGGGAGCUUGCUCCCUGAUGUUAGCGGCGGACGGGUGAGUAACACGUGGGUAACCGCCUGUAAGACUGGGAUAACUCCGGGAAACCGGGGCUAAUACCGGAUGGUUGUUUGAACCGCAUGGUUCAAACAUAAAAGGUGGCUUCGGCUACCACUUACAGAUGGACCCGCGGCGCAUUAGCUAGUUGGUGAGGUAACGGCUCACCAAGGCAACGAUGCGUAGCCGACCUGAGAGGGUGAUCGGCCACACUGGGACUGAGACACGGCCCAGACUCCUACGGGAGGCAGCAGUAGGGAAUCUUCCGCAAUGGACGAAAGUCUGACGGAGCAACGCCGCGUGAGUGAUGAAGGUUUUCGGAUCGUAAAGCUCUGUUGUUAGGGAAGAACAAGUACCGUUCGAAUAGGGCGGUACCUUGACGGUACCUAACCAGAAAGCCACGGCUAACUACG
This 480-nucleotide ribosomal RNA is filed under the name Bacillus subtilis. RNAcentral describes it as "bacterial SSU rRNA". It matches the Rfam family "Bacterial small subunit ribosomal RNA", at positions 42 to 505 of the family's 1533-position model. Lineage: Bacteria; Bacillati; Bacillota; Bacilli; Caryophanales; Bacillaceae. The record is from RNAcentral.